Anser brachyrhynchus (Pink-footed goose) is the source of this 1807-nucleotide long non-coding RNA. The record is from Ensembl. Lineage: Eukaryota; Metazoa; Chordata; Aves; Anseriformes; Anatidae.
UUUCAAUGGAAAAUGCCUUAAAAACUAGAAUUUUUACCACUUCACAUAAUGUGUCUUGAAAAUUGUUGUGGUUAUUUGGAGCACACUGACAUUGGUCAGUGUGUCACACUUUUGGAGCUCAGCCUAAGCUUCUGCUGAAAUUUAUCUACAUUAAGGAACCCUCCAAAAUCAGUGCACUUAGUUUUCUAACAUCAACCUAUCAUGACACUAUCUAAAAUCGAAUUCACUGACUUAUAUCCUCAGCAUGGCAAUCAAGAAUUCUUCAAAAUAGUAAGUCAGUUUCAUAACUGCACUGGGGAUAGACCUUUUUCAGGUAAACUAUUUUCAGAAUAUAGUGACAGUGUGUGCACCCUAUCAGGUAUCUUUUUUUCCACUUUCUAGUGUAAUAGGAUAACAAUUCAUUUAAGUAUGGCCAUAGUUGCAAAACUACAUUCAAUUUGCUAAGAAAGAACUACAGGGAAAGUUUGUAACUGUCAUAUGUAUUAUGCUAUUAUGACCUAAAGGUAAAAAUGAUGUCAGCCAAAGGGACAGUUGGGACCAAGAACCAUUAGCUACACAUAGACAAUUCAAAUGCAUUUGUAUGGUAGCCAGUUUAUUUCAGUCUCUAGUCCUUCUACUAUUUUUUCCCAUUUCAUUCUUCCCAUCUUUCCCCACCUACUGCUAUAACUUUUCUUCCAGCAAGUUUUAGGGUUGAAGUUUAAAUGAGCAUCUGCCACAGCACCAAUGCCAACACUAACUGGCCAUCAACCAGCGGGGUACUCUUGCAUGGGAUGCCUGGCUCCACUUCGGAGACUGCGUUUAACCUUUAUGACAUACUCAGAUUCCACCAGCUUGGUGCCUCAAAUCCCAUGUUCCUGUUUCUCUCCAAAUUUUCUGAUCAGAAGCACAUUUUUAGGUACAAUGGGCCAACUGGUGCGCUGCCUCCUCAAGGGUUGUGAAUGACUAAACAAGUCCAGGACAAUCAUGUAUUCUAUCUUACUUGGAAAUUAUAUAACUGGAAGGAGUAUGGAGAAGAGCUUCUGUAACUACACAAGUUCUAGAAAGAGUACUUUGCUGCAAGAUGUUAAAAAUGCAGUGUUAGCUCCUUAAAGGGAAGAUCAAAGCUGAUAUGAUUACAGUGUAUAAACUCCUUCUUGGAGAGACACUUGAGAUACUGAAAUAAGAGAAACAAGCACUACAGGACCAGUGGCAAGAAGUUAAACCCACACAUAUUUAUAUUACACAUAAACAGUCCUCUAGUCAUGGAAAUUAAAAUAGCAAGGGAAAAAGUGUGCCAACAUUUUUACACCAAGUCUGCAUGUCCUUGUAGAAUACAGCUUUCAGCCAAGCAGAUGCUGGCUGCACUGUAAGGGCAGAUAUUAUUGAUGUUAUACAAGAGAUCAAGCUAGCAGGUUUGUGCCUUGUUUUGGAGUCCUUCCAUUUGGACGUACCGGUAACACUAGGGAGUCUGCAGAAGAACCCAGACCAAUUUUCAACAUUAAAUGUCAAGCUGAAAGAUUACUUGAAUUGUUCUAGGGCUACUCCCUUUUGGAAAUUUUUCUGUAGUAUCAAUUCAGUUAAAUUUGCAUUUAUAUUACAGAUGGACUGAUCAAAAAUGUGACUUCUUUGUUUCUUUUUUUUUUUUUUUGGUUUANGCAGCCCCGGCCAGCGGGGAGCCGCCGGCGGAGAAGUUCCUGGAGACGUUUUAAUGCGUGGGGCGGGAGCGUGAUUUUUUUGUUUUUUUUUUUUUUUUUGGUUUAGUAAUUAUGGGCUUUAUCCUUCAGUUAUUACAACCAUGUAAGUCAAGCAAGCAGCUGAACUGGAAACA